GGGGCUGUAGCUCAGCUGGCAGAGCGUCGCGCUGGCAGCGCGAAGGCCAGGGGUUCGAAUCCCCUCAGCUCCA
Molecule: transfer RNA, 73 nt
Filed under: Thermoleophilaceae bacterium
Lineage: Bacteria; Bacillati; Actinomycetota; Thermoleophilia; Thermoleophilales; Thermoleophilaceae
Description: tRNA-Ala
Rfam family: tRNA
About the family: Transfer RNA (tRNA) molecules are approximately 80 nucleotides in length. Their secondary structure includes four short double-helical elements and three loops (D, anti-codon, and T loops).
Source: RNAcentral